AUGAGAUUUGUUUCUUCUCCCAGCGGACGCACUAGUGUACAUUCAUCAUUUAGGAAUUUGGCUGGUUUCAUGGAGCCCGGCGCCUCGCUGAGCAGUCACAGAAGAUUGCAAACCAUGAAGCUCUCAUCCAGUGAUCCAUUACAGAGACUACAGUGGGAACAUGUGAUGGUGUUUCAACAUUUGGAUAACUGCAUUUGCGGCUGCCAUUUUGUUUGAACCUAAACUACCCUACUGAAGUCAAGUACAGCUUUAAAGCACUCCAAAGGGUUGUCAUGGAGCUGGAAACCAACGCACUCUCCAGGAUCGGUAUCAAAGACUGUCAGUGUGCUGUGUGUAAUGGCGAAGUGGACAGGAUGCAAAUGUUCACCAUCUUGGAUUGUUAUUGCUCCUUCCAUUGCACUGAUGGUGGACUUGACAUGUUAUGCAUUCUUAAAGCUAUAAAAAAGACUUAUAGGUUGACAUGACAAAGUUAGUUAGUUAGUUAGUUCGACAAAUAAGAAUUCAGAAUAUUGAACAUGAAUAAAUCAUUUUCAGUAAAGAUAUUUUCUUCAGUGUACUUGAUACUAUGAUAUUUUGUAACACAUAACAUAAAGUCUAAAACAGAUCAUCAUCUUGGCCUUUUUCCCAUCCUAUCAAGUCUAGCUCAAAGACACCUUAGAAUAUUUCUGCCACAAUUCAUUCACUUUAAUAUAACAAAAAUCGAGGUUACACAAUAAUUCCUGGUAACUCAAACUUCACAAGAUGAUAUAAUGCAUAUCAACCAUGGUGUCUUACAUGGCGUGUAACUUUAAAGCCUAUGCCUGACUUUUUGUGCGACUGAAAGAACUGAAAAACCUUCCACCUGAACCUCCCCCCGUCUUUAUUACAUUAAUCAUACUCGCGUAUAUUAAAUGAAAUCCAUUUAAAUACCCCUGGUUGCACAAAUAAUUUGUGUAGCCAGGUUGAAAGAGUUGGGAGUCAAAGGCGGCAUAAUUAGACGGGACGAUUCUGAAACCUAAUACAAGAUGUAAUUAAGGAAAUUAAUAAGGUGCCAGCCCCCUUUCACUGGGUGCUCCGCCUGAUGAUUAAUCACAGCCUGGGCUAAUUUGAUUUGUGACAAGGAAAGGGAUGACUUGCUAAGUCAGUUAGGAGAGCCCAGUUCGACAGCAUAUGACAUUAAUAAAACAUGAAUUGUGGGGGUUCAGGGAGGAACAAAAAUCCACUUGCGAUCUACAUGAAGCAAUCAGAUUAAAGAAGUCUUUGGAUAGAUAGUGUUGUGACAAAGUCACUGACAGGGGAGUGACUGGAAUUUAAUCAAUGUCUCUGAUGUUACAGUAUUGUUAUCACUGAAUAAUUGGACUCAACACCUUUAUAAAUAAACAAGUGUUGACCCGUGGUAAAUCCAAACUACAUUCCAGACAUAAUGUGAACUUUUAAGAAGCUGAGAACAGUGUGUGACAGAUCGAAGCAGUAAAGUUGUGAAAGAUGAUGGCAGGGCAUUAAUCACUGCGCAAUCAGAUUGGAGGAUAGAUGGUGCAGUACUUGUUCAGGGACACAAAGAGCCUG
This 1545-nucleotide long non-coding RNA is filed under the name Dicentrarchus labrax (European seabass). Its description in RNAcentral is "lncRNA (ENSDLAG00005027144.1)". The record is from RNAcentral. Lineage: Eukaryota; Metazoa; Chordata; Actinopteri; Moronidae.